GAUGAACGCUAGCGGCAGGCUCAAUACAUGCAAGUCGAGGGGCAACAGGGGGUAGCAAUACCUGCUGGCGACCGGCAAACGGGUGCGGAACACGUACAGAACCUUCCUUUAAGGCGGGGGAUAGCCCAUAGAAAUGUGGAUUAAUACCCCAUAGUAAUAUUGGUUGGCAUCAACUGGUAUUUAAAGAUUUAUCACUUAAAGAUGGCUGUGCGGCUGAUUAGGUAGUUGGUCGGGGAACGGCCCACCAAGCCAACGAUCAGUAACUGGUGUGAGAGCACGACCAGUCAC
Molecule: ribosomal RNA, 288 nt
Filed under: uncultured bacterium
Lineage: Bacteria
Description: partial 16S ribosomal RNA
Rfam family: Bacterial small subunit ribosomal RNA
Source: RNAcentral